This 292-nucleotide ribosomal RNA is filed under the name uncultured bacterium. RNAcentral's name for it is "partial 16S ribosomal RNA". The record is from RNAcentral.
GGACUACCGGGGUAUCUAAUCCUGUUUGCUCCCCACGCUUUCGCUGCUCAGUGUCAGUUACCUUCCAGGUCGCCGCCUUCGCCUCUGGUGUUCCUCCCAAUAUCUACGAAUUUCACCUCUACACUGGGAAUUCCGCGACCCUCUCCGGCACUCAAGCAACCCAGUUUCGCGCGCACUUUCCAGGUUGAGCCUGGAGCUUUCACACGCGACUUAAAUCGCCACCUACCAGCGCUUUACGCCCAAUAAUUCCGAACAACGCUCGCACCCUCUGUAUUACCGCGGCUGCUGGCAC